RNAcentral lists this transfer RNA (76 nucleotides) under Candidatus Magasanikbacteria bacterium RIFOXYD2_FULL_41_14. RNAcentral's name for it is "tRNA-Thr". It matches the Rfam family "tRNA". From Rfam's summary of the family: Transfer RNA (tRNA) molecules are approximately 80 nucleotides in length. Lineage: Bacteria; Candidatus Magasanikiibacteriota. The record is from RNAcentral.
GCCGUCUUAGCUCAGUUGGUAGAGCAACGGUUUUGUAAACCGUAGGUCUAGGGUUCGAAUCCCUAAGACGGCUCCA